GUUGAAUUGGAACCAAUAGCAGGUGCAAGCACAGCGCUAGACCCAAGCAUCCACAUACGAGAAGAGGUCAGUAAGCUGUUCGAGGGCUUUGAGAGGAGGAUGCUGUUGAAGCUGGAAAUGAUGCAGGAGGGCUCCAACAGCAUCCUCACCAGGGUGGAGACCCUCCUGGAGGCCCAGGGGAACAGGCCAGUGGCAGAUGAGGUGGAGAACCUGUUGGAGCAGCCGCUGGAGACCCUGGAGGAGUUUGAACAGUUGUGCCACAGCUUCCAGGCAGAUGCCACAUAGAAGAAAAAGAUUAUUCAGUACUUGAGUCUGCAGGCUCGGGUGAGCCUCGGAGACGGAGUGAGGAGAAUGCUGAGAAAUAUCGACAGCAAUGGACUGUGGGGCCACUACAGUUACAAGGGGAGAAAGGGAAACAGCCAUUUCAGGCGCUGCCCAUAAACCAGGCGUUGAUAACUAAGUGAUAUUUACAUAAACCCAUCAGUGUUUUCACUCAGCCUAAUUAAUCCUAUUCCACUGUUGCCAUUCUUACAGGCAUGCGUGGAAGACUGCAUCGCAAUGACCUCAAACAUGCCCCACACCGUAGUAGUGCAAUAUCUACUUUUUUUCUGCGUAACGGUGGAAA
This is a long non-coding RNA of Clupea harengus (Atlantic herring), 625 nucleotides long. RefSeq lists it as uncharacterized. The transcript is spliced from 3 exons. The record is from RefSeq and is a predicted model, not a curated record. NCBI's taxonomy places the organism in Eukaryota, Metazoa, Chordata, Actinopteri, Clupeiformes, Clupeidae.